UUACCUAGGCUUGACAUGUGGUGAGUAGCGAACCGAAAGGGGAGCGACCCGUCAAAUCGGGCCAUCACACAGGUGCUGCAUGGCUGUCGUCAGCUCGUGCCGUGAGGUGUUGGGUUCAGUCCCGCAACGAGCGCAACCCUCGCCCUUUGUUGCCAUCGGGUAAAGCCGGGCACUCUAAGGGGACUGCCAGCGACAAGUUGGAGGAAGGAGAGGAUGACGUCAAGUCAUCAUGGCCUUUAUGCCUAGGGCCACACACGUGCAACAAUGGCCGGUACAGACGGAGGCAAUGCCGAGAGGCGGAGCAAACCCGAGAAAACCGGUCCCAGUUCGGAUUGAGGUCUGCAGCUCGACCUCAUGAAGUCGGAAUCGCUAGUAAUCGCAUAUCAGAACGAUGCGGUGAAUACGUUCCCGGGCCUUGUACACAC
This 425-nucleotide ribosomal RNA is filed under the name uncultured bacterium. RNAcentral describes it as "bacterial SSU rRNA". It matches the Rfam family "Bacterial small subunit ribosomal RNA", at positions 971 to 1390 of the family's 1533-position model. The record is from RNAcentral.